Poecilia reticulata (guppy) is the source of this 1050-nucleotide non-coding RNA. Lineage: Eukaryota; Metazoa; Chordata; Actinopteri; Cyprinodontiformes; Poeciliidae. The record is from RefSeq and is a predicted model, not a curated record.
AUCAGGAAUGAUGGCGUGUCAAAAGGGCCGCCUUUCGUCUCUUGGCGCUGUGCGUCAGAUCCGCCAGGUCAGCAGCAAGGUGACACUUCUAAAAGGUUAUCCAGCACCAACCUUUACCUCACAUGGCGGCGGAGAUAACCACCGGUUACUCAAGCCGUCACACGUUGACGAAAAGCUGCUGAUUCAAGCACCGGCUGUGCGUUGGGGAAAAGUAGCUUAAAGGUCAACCAGAAUGAGGACGGUUUCUGAAGGGACUUGCUGCGGUGCAGGAAGGAAACGUCUGAGGUUUGAAAAAGAGAAAAUAUCCAGUGAGCGGCAGUUCUGUGGGCCACAAAUGCAUUGUUGAUGCCAGAGGUCAGAGGAGAAUGGCCAGACUGGUUCGAGUUGAUAGAACGGAAACAGCAACUCAAACAAGCAAGGCAUGCAGAAGAGCAUCUCUGAAUGCACGACACGUCGAACCCUGAGGCGGAUGGGCUACAGCAGCAGAAGACCACACAGAGUGCCCCUCCUGUCAGCUUAGAACAGCAAACUGAGGCUACAAUUCGCUCAUUAAUUGGUCAAUAGAAGAUUGGAAAAACGUUGCCUGGUCUGAUGAGUCUCGACAUUCGGAUGGUCGGGUCAGAAUUAGGCGUCAACAACAUGAAAGCUUGGAUCCAUCCUGCCUUGUAUCAACGGUUCAGGCUGCUGGUGGCGGUGCGGUGGUGUGGGGGAUAUUUCCCUGGCUCACUUUCGACCCAUUAGAGACAACUGAGCGGGAUGAGGUGGAACCGGAGAUUCACAUCAUGGAUGUGCAGCCGACCAAUCUGCAGCAACUGCACGAUGCCGUCAUGUCCAUGUGGCCCAGACUCUCUGAGGAACGUUUCCAGGACCUUGUUGAAUCUCUGCCAUGAAGGAGUAAAGCAGUUUUUAAGACAAAAGAGGGUCUAACCCAGGGUGUACCCAACACAAUGGUGUGUGUGUAUAUAUAUAUAUUUUUUUUUUCUGCCCACUGCAAUGUACUUUCUGCAUGACAUUUUAAGACCUGUUAUCUAUACUGUACAACCACUGGGA